Molecule: unclassified non-coding RNA, 418 nt
Filed under: Hevea brasiliensis (rubber tree)
Lineage: Eukaryota; Viridiplantae; Streptophyta; Magnoliopsida; Malpighiales; Euphorbiaceae
Source: RNAcentral
GAAGGAGAUUGCUGAGGCUUAUCUUGGAACAACUAUCAAGAACGCAGUCGUCACAGUACCUGCUUACUUCAAUGAUUCGCAGCGUCAGGCAACUAAAGAUGCUGGUGUCAUAUCCGGGCUUAAUGUGAUGCGUAUUAUCAACGAGCCGACAGCAGCUGCAAUUGCCUAUGGACUUGACAAGAAGUCUACCAGUACUGGUGAGAAAAAUGUGUUGAUUUUCGAUUUGGGUGGUGGUACUUUCGAUGUGUCUCUUCUCACUAUUGAAGAGGGGAUUUUUGAGGUUAAAGCUACUGCUGGUGAUACUCACUUGGGAGGUGAGGAUUUUGAUAAUAGAAUGGUGAAUCAUUUUGUUCAAGAGUUUAAGAGAAAGCAUAAGAAGGAUAUCAGUGGGAAUCCAAGAGCAUUGAGGAGGUUAAGG